UACGUAGGGCGCAAGCGUUGUCCGGAAUUAUUGGGCGUAAAGAGCUCGUAGGCGGUUUGUCGCGUCUGCUGUGAAAACCUAAGGCUCAACCUUGGGCUUGCAGUGGGUACGGGCAGACUAGAGUGCGGUAGGGGUGACUGGAAUUCCUGGUGUAGCGGUGGAAUGCGCAGAUAUCAGGAGGAACACCGAUGGCGAAGGCAGGUCACUGGGCCGGCAACUGACG
Molecule: ribosomal RNA, 223 nt
Filed under: uncultured bacterium
Lineage: Bacteria
Description: partial 16S ribosomal RNA
Rfam family: Bacterial small subunit ribosomal RNA
Source: RNAcentral